This 207-nucleotide long non-coding RNA is filed under the name Gossypium barbadense (sea-island cotton). RNAcentral describes it as "long non-coding RNA (GBAR_LNC013078)". The record is from RNAcentral. Lineage: Eukaryota; Viridiplantae; Streptophyta; Magnoliopsida; Malvales; Malvaceae.
UCAAUAUGAUUUUUUUGUCUCAAAUAAAUUUCUAAAUUUUACUUCAAUGUUUAAUUUGGUACUUAAUUUUUUUCUUCCUAUUGAAUACCUAUUUUUUUUAAUUAAAACUCACGUAUCAGAUAUUCAUUGAAUCACGUUAUAUUGUAGGGAAUCUUUUAUAUUUGGCAGCAAAAAUAAUGUUUGUGUCAAAUAAUUUUACGGAUUAAU